GAGUUUGAUCAUGGCUCAGGACGAACGCUGGCGGCGUGCCUAACACAUGCAAGUCGAACGAGGCCAUCCUUUCGGGGAUGAGUCGAGUGGCGGACGGGUGAGUAACACGUAAGCAACCUGCCUGGAGUUGGGGGAUAACCUCGGGAAACCGGGGCUAAUACCGCAUGAGCUCAUCUGGCCGAGUGGCUGGGUGAGGAAAGGAGCUUUCGGGCUACUGGCUUCAAGAGGGGCUCGCGGCGUAUCAGCUAGUUGGUGAGGUAACGGCUCACCAAGGCGACGACGCGUAGGGGGUCUGGAGAGGAUGGGCCCCCCACAUUGGGACUGAGAUACGGCCCAGACUCCUACGGGAGCAGCAGUGGGGAAUCUUGCGCAAUGGCCGAAAGGCUGACGC
RNAcentral lists this ribosomal RNA (391 nucleotides) under uncultured Actinomycetes bacterium. RNAcentral describes it as "bacterial SSU rRNA". It matches the Rfam family "Bacterial small subunit ribosomal RNA", at positions 9 to 389 of the family's 1533-position model. The record is from RNAcentral. Lineage: Bacteria; Bacillati; Actinomycetota; Actinomycetes.